Molecule: ribosomal RNA, 500 nt
Filed under: uncultured eukaryote
Lineage: Eukaryota
Description: SSU rRNA
Rfam family: Eukaryotic small subunit ribosomal RNA
Source: RNAcentral
UUUGGAUCAAGAUAGCCAUGCAUGUCCAGACUAAACAAGUUGUCAGUGAAUCUGCGUAUGGCUCAAUAAACGAACCAUAACCUCCCCGAGAACAAAGUACAACUGGAUAACCGUUGUAAUUCAAGGGCUAAUCAUGCGUCAAUAGGGGCUUCUUCAUUGGAGCUUCUGCAUUUGUUAGUCUCAAAUCAACAUUCUGUGAUGAAUCAUGACAAACUGCGAAUCCUCAUGUUGCAAAAAACGGAGGAUGACUCGGUCGGGUCUUUCCCCUAUCAGGUUUCGUAGGGAGUGUAUUGAACUCUCUAGCCUUUGACGGGUAACGGAGAAUUAGGGUUCGAUUCCGGAGAAGGAGCCUGAGAGACGGCUACUACAUCUAAGGAAGGCAGCAGGCGCGCAAAUUUCCCAAUGCUCAUCGAGCGAGGAAGUGACGAUCAAUAAUAAUGUGCGGGGUUUAACCCUGUGCAAUUACAAUGAGUAAAAUGUACAAGCGUUUUCCAUGAUCA